RNAcentral lists this ribosomal RNA (516 nucleotides) under uncultured bacterium. RNAcentral's name for it is "partial 16S ribosomal RNA". It matches the Rfam family "Bacterial small subunit ribosomal RNA", at positions 899 to 1397 of the family's 1533-position model. The record is from RNAcentral.
ACUCAAAGGAAUUGACGGGGGCCCGCACAAGCGGUGGAACAUGUGGUUUAAUUCGAAGCUACGCGAAAAACCUCACCAGGGCUUGACAUACAGGAAGUAGUGAAGUGAAAGCGGAACGACCCGUUAAGUCGGGAGCCUGUACAGGUGCUGCAUGGCUGUCGUCAGCUCGUGUCGUGAGAUGUUGGGUUAAGUCCCGCAACGAGCGCAACCAUUAUCCUUUGUUGCAACUCUAUUCCGGCUUGCCGGGGUAGAGGCACUCUAAGGAGACUGCCCGGGAUAACCGGGAGGAAGGUGGAGAUGACGUCAAGUCAGUACGGCCUUUAUGCCCUGGGCGACACACGUGUUACAAUGGGUGGGACAAAGGGUUGCCAACCCGCGAGGGGGAGCUAAUCUCAAAAACCCACCCCCAGUUCAGAUCGCAGUCUGCAAUCCGACUGCGUGAAGCCGGAAUCGCUAGUAAUGGGAGAUCAGCACGCUCCCGUGAAUACGUUCCCGGGCCUUGCACACACCGCCCGU